Pocillopora verrucosa is the source of this 529-nucleotide long non-coding RNA. RefSeq lists it as uncharacterized. Lineage: Eukaryota; Metazoa; Cnidaria; Anthozoa; Scleractinia; Pocilloporidae. The record is from RefSeq and is a predicted model, not a curated record.
CUAAUUUUUCACAUAAGCAUUUGACUUUCAGCCAGAGGAAGACAAGUUUUCUCCGAGAGACAACUCCCAGAAUUGCUAGAAGAUGGCGGAUUUCAAAAUGACCGUGACAAUUCUUCUCUUGCUGUGCUUAGUUUCCAGUGGCAUGGGAAUGUCUCUCGUAAGGCGGGAUCUGAAGGGGAAUUCUGCUGCAGAAAGAUUUCUCCGAGCACUAGAUAAACGAACGGAGCUUGUUGAACGUUCUGAUUGUCAAGACACAAACCCCGAUAUAUACUUCUGCAUGUUUGCGGCCUUUGAAGAGCAAUCUUGUGAAACGUAUGGAUCGGAAUGUGCCUUUUCAUGUGGAAUCUGUUAGAGCUCAGCCCGAAGAAUUGCCAUGAAGCAAUGUAUUGCUGACAUUCCAAAAUUUAUAUUAGCUAUGCCUAUGUUUUGAUUUACAACUGAAGUUCUCCUGCAUGUGCUCUUGCGAAGCUCACUUGACCUUAUUGAAUAUGGCAAAAUAAAACAAUGAAAUAUCAUAAAUCAAAAGAAA